UACGAACGCUGGCGGCGUGCCUAAUACAUGCAAGUAGAACGCUGACUACUUUAGCUUGCUAGAGUAGAAGGAGUUGCGAACGGGUGAGUAACGCGUAGGUAACCUGCCUACUAGCGGGGGAUAACUAUUGGAAACGAUAGCUAAUACCGCAUAACAGUGUUUAACACAUGUUAGAUGCUUGAAGGAUGCAAUUGCAUCACUAGUAGAUGGACCUGCGUUGUAUUAGCUAGUUGGCGGGGUAACGGCCCACCAAGGCAUCGAUCAGUAGGGGUUCUGAGAGGAAGGUCCCCCACAUAGGAACUGAGACACGGUCCUA
This 316-nucleotide ribosomal RNA is filed under the name uncultured bacterium. RNAcentral's name for it is "bacterial SSU rRNA". It matches the Rfam family "Bacterial small subunit ribosomal RNA", at positions 29 to 334 of the family's 1533-position model. The record is from RNAcentral.